RNAcentral lists this ribosomal RNA (253 nucleotides) under uncultured bacterium. Its description in RNAcentral is "partial 16S ribosomal RNA". It matches the Rfam family "Bacterial small subunit ribosomal RNA", at positions 524 to 776 of the family's 1533-position model. The record is from RNAcentral.
UACAGAGGGUGCAAGCGUUAAUCGGAAUUACUGGGCGUAAAGCGCGCGUAGGCCGUCGAGUAAGUCGGUUGUGAAAUCCCCGGGCUUAACCUGGGAAUUGCAGUCGAUACUGCUUGGCUAGAGCGUGGAAGAGGGAAGCGGAAUUUCCGGUGUAGCGGUGAAAUGCGUAGAUAUCGGAAGGAAUACCAGUGGCGAAGGCGGCUUCCUGGUCCAACACUGACGCUGAGGCGCGAAAGCGUGGGGAGCGAACAGG